CCUACGGGAGGCAGCAGUGGGGAAUAUUGGGCAAUGGGCGCAAGCCUGACCCAGCAACGACGCGUGAAGGAAGAAGGCUCUCGGGUUGUAAACUUCUUUUAUCAGGGACGAAGCAAGUGACGGUACCUGAUGAAUAAGCCACGGCUAACUACGUGCCAGCAGCCGCGGUAUUCGUAGGUGGGAAGUGUUUUUCGGAUUUACUGGGUGUAAAGGGCGUGUUGGGGGGAAAGGAAGUCAGAUGUGAAAACCAUGGGCUCAACCUGUGGCCUGCAUUUGAAACUGUUUUUCUUGAGUACUGGAGAGGCAGACGGAAUUCCUAGUGUAGCGGUGAAAUGCGUAGAUAUUAGGAGGAACACCAGUGGCGAAGGCGGUCUGCUGGACAGCAACUGACGCUGAGGCGCGAAAGCGUGGGGAGCAAACAGGAUUAGAUACCCGAGUAGUC
Molecule: ribosomal RNA, 442 nt
Filed under: uncultured bacterium
Lineage: Bacteria
Description: partial 16S ribosomal RNA
Rfam family: Bacterial small subunit ribosomal RNA
Source: RNAcentral